AGGUUUUUUUCCCCUAAGGCACGAGCUAGUAGGUGGUCCUUCUAUUUGGAUUUUUACGGUACAAGAUAGACGGAAGUAAGUGGGAGGAGAUAUGUAAAUAAGAACAGCACAUAGGGCUUCUAAUUUGCCGGAUGUGAGCAGAGUAUUCUGGGAGAUUUUAUUUCCCCCUUUUUAGCGCCGAAUGGAAAAUAAUUUACAUUAAGCGACUUUCACAUAGAUAUUACUCUAUGAUUGCGAGAAUCCUGAAACACUGGAUUCGUGCUAAAGCUGUCACAAUCUCACCCUCGCUGUAACCGGAAACGUCUUUACCAAUGAGGAAUGGGCCCCGUGAGCUCCGUAUCGUCAGGAGGUUAAUCCUUACCUGUUCCUCCUCUGGAGGGCAGAUAGAAAAUGAUGAUUGGAGCCUGCAUGAUCUGCUGAUUAGCAUUUCCGUGUAGCCAGGACCUGACAACAUCCUGGCUGCUCCUAUCUGAUUCUCUGACGAUCACACUUGUUUCUGACGCGUGAACUGACAGACCUUUAUAGCCACUCUAAGAGGCUUCAGGUCCCCUGGAGCUGGAGCUUUAGGUGGUUGUGAUCUCCCUACUGUGAUUGCUGGGAACAGAAGUCUGGAAGAGCAGCAGGCACCACUUCCCCAGCCACAAGGAUGGGAGGAGUUCAUGAGCCAGCGUGGGAUGAUCCAGCCCCCUUCCACCCCAACUUCUGAACCAGGAGUCCUGUGAAGAGGAAAAAACAAGGAAGCAGGCUUUCUUUUAUAUUUUUAAUUUUUGUUCUUAUCUUUGAG
Molecule: long non-coding RNA, 784 nt
Organism: Onychomys torridus (southern grasshopper mouse)
Lineage: Eukaryota; Metazoa; Chordata; Mammalia; Rodentia; Cricetidae
Exons: 3
Source: RefSeq, a predicted model, not a curated record